UACGUAGGGAGCAAGCGUUAUCCGGAAUCACUGGGCGUAAAGAGCUCGUAGGCGGUUCGGUAAGUUGCAUGUUAAAUCUCCGGGCUUAACCCGGAAACUGCGUGCAAUACUGUCGAGCUUGAGAGCGGGAGAGGGAAAUGGAAUUCCCGGUGUAGCGGUGAAAUGCAUAGAUAUCGGGAAGAACACCAGUGGCGAAGGCGAUUUCCUGGACCGUUUCUGACGCUGAGGAGCGAAAGCUAGGGGAG
This 245-nucleotide ribosomal RNA is filed under the name uncultured bacterium. RNAcentral describes it as "partial 16S ribosomal RNA". It matches the Rfam family "Bacterial small subunit ribosomal RNA", at positions 524 to 768 of the family's 1533-position model. The record is from RNAcentral.